RNAcentral lists this long non-coding RNA (897 nucleotides) under Homo sapiens (human). RNAcentral's name for it is "LHRI_LNC378.1". The record is from RNAcentral. Lineage: Eukaryota; Metazoa; Chordata; Mammalia; Primates; Hominidae.
GCUGACAGUCGAUUUAUAAAGUAGCAUUCAGAGUCACAGAGCUCAUCCACGCCCCCUUCAGUUGUCGGGUGGGUAGGUCAUAUGGCCUGGUGGAAUACCCCGCUUGGACAGGGGGACCUCUGGGCUGAGGGACAGGUAGUCCCCCUGGAGGAGGCCUUUGCGUGAAGGAGGGCGGAGGAGGACCUGGACCAGUCCAAAGGCAGGAAGGAAGGGCGAUCCCUGCGUACCGUGAGGGGCAGAUUUGGAGGGAAGUUGGGCGAACUGACGAUGACUUAGGUAGUAAAGGGACAGGCCGGUCCCUAGCAAAGGCAACUGAAGAGGACAGCGAGGGAGGACCGGAUAAAAGGACAGUAGCAGUAGGUCCAGGACUGGGGACUGGUGACCAAGUGACUGAGCCUGAAAGCCAGAAUGGACUAGCCCUGGUCAAGACCGGUUUUUCCUCCCAAAAGGCCACGUCCUGCUGGAACAGACCACAGAAUGCCGGGCUGGGAGGCGUUUCCCUGGAAGACCCAGCAUAGCCAUGCCAGUGGGGUGCGCCAUAGGUGGAAGAAGAGGGGGGUUAUGUUGGAUCGAUCCACUCAGGGAGGGGAGGAUGUCAAUGACAGGUACUAAGAUGGAUUAAGGUCAGGAGCCGCAGGGUGGUGACUCAUUGGAGCUAACGCAGUCCAGGAUUCACCCCCACCUUUCCCCCUAAGACUGAGGUAGAUGGAAGGGGGCGGGUCGGGAAGUCCGUAGGAACUUUGUGCAUCUUUACAAUGGUCUGUACCAAUGAGGAGGAGGUAGGUGGUGUUCGGUGCAAAGGAUGAGCGUCCUAGGGGAAGGGUCCACUCAGGUGAGUGAGGGUGCGGGUGACAGAAUGAGAGGUGGCUAAAUCCGGGUGCAGAAUUUUGUUUUGCC